CAGGUGCUGCAUGGCUGUCGUCAGCUCGUGUUGUGAAAUGUUGGGUUAAGUCCCGCAACGAGCGCAACCCUUAUCCUUUGUUGCCAGCGAUUAGGUCGGGAACUCAAAGGAGACUGCCAGUGAUAAACUGGAGGAAGGUGGGGAUGACGUCAAGUCAUCAUGGCCCUUACGACCAGGGCUACACACGUGCUACAAUGGCGCAUACAAAGAGAAGCGACCUCGCGAGAGCAAGCGGACCUCAUAAAGUGCGUCGUAGUCCGGAUUGGAGUCUGCAACUCGACUCCAUGAAGUCGGAAUCGCUAGUAAUCGUGGAUCAGAAUGCCACGGUGAAUACGUUCCCGGGCCUUGUACACACCGCCCGUCACACCAUGGGAGUGGGUUGCAAAAGAAGUAGGUAGCUUAACCUUCGGGAGGGCGCUCACCACUUUGUGAUUCAUGACUGGGGUGAAGUCGUAACAAGGUAACCGUAGGGGAACCUGCGGUUGGAUCACCUCCUUACCUGAAAGAA
This 508-nucleotide ribosomal RNA is filed under the name Salmonella enterica subsp. enterica serovar Newport. RNAcentral describes it as "bacterial SSU rRNA". It matches the Rfam family "Bacterial small subunit ribosomal RNA", at positions 1035 to 1533 of the family's 1533-position model. Lineage: Bacteria; Pseudomonadati; Pseudomonadota; Gammaproteobacteria; Enterobacterales; Enterobacteriaceae. The record is from RNAcentral.